ACAGCCAUAUACGUUGCUCGACACGAGCAAUAAUUGCUAUCGCAUGACUCGUAUGAUUCUGAUGUCUAUCCCUCUUCACGAACUUCACACUUCUCUCAGCCGACAAAGCUCUAAUCUCCUCAACUAAGUGGGCAUAUCUAGAGGUAUGAUGCCCAUGAGCACUCCCAGCCUGAACCACUGCGGCACAAUCCGACUCCAUGAUGAUAGGACACUUGCUCCACUGAAGCGCCAUCGCUAAGCCCUCCAUGCAAGCACAUAGCUCCGCUUCCUCAGGAUCCGAGCAAUGGAAAAGAGCUCAGCAAGCCGAGAAGACAAUCUGGCCAGCCUCAUCCCGGAGGAGCAUGCCCGCCCCGGCCAAGCCAACCAGGUGCUGGAAAGAGCCGUCCACAUUGAGCUUCACCCAGCCAGGAGGCGGCUUCUCCCAAUUCUUCAGAUCAGUAGGUGCCUUGGGUUUGACCGAUGGAGCAGCCUUGAAAUCAAAGACCAACUCCUUGCCUUUAGCAGGAUCCAUUAGGGGAUCAAGAGUGGAUUCCAUUUUUUACCCCCUCUUUGAAACUUUUUGACACAAUCUAACCCAUUUAAGGAAAUUUCCAAAAUUAUACCCUAUUUAACCAAACUUUUGCCACUAAAUACCCCUUUUGAUAUUUUCUGCCAAAUCUGACGUUUUCUGACGAGCCGGGCGCACUUUUAAGGCCGCCUUCGGGGCCGAACCGGCCCGGUUCAGUUCAGGUGCCGGUCCGGUUUUCUUCUGGCUCCAUGCUUUUUUUUAGAGAGAGCAUUUCAGGCUCAUGCAAACCUGGGCGGCCGUGACUUGGGCCGUGAAUUUGGCCAUCAGUUAAGGACGCCCGCGUCAGUUUCGCUCUUAUCUCCCGAUUUGUACUCCCGCCUCUCCCCAACCUGAGCAGAUUGAUCGCAGCGACGAGUUUGGCGAAUAAGGCAGGGCGGCGCCGGCGCGGAGGGACGGUGAUCACGGGUAAUCGGCGAUCGCAGCGACUGACGGCAGAACCGAUGGCAGAGGACAUGUGGAUUGUGAAGUAUAUUUCUCAUGACCGUGCACGUAGCAGCCCAGAGUCUGAUUUGAUUGACAGGGACUAUAUUAGCUACUUUGAUAUCAAGGAGAGGAUUAAAGAACUUGGUUUUCAGAAGGAGGACAGCGUGUACUACAUGAGUAAAGGCCAAAUGAUGGUUGAGUUGAAAGAUGAUGCUGCUGUCAUGAACAUGUUGGAUGAAAAUAAGUUUGGACAAAUGUUAAUUUUGGAAGAAGCUCUAGGGGCAGACUCUACUCAUGGUUCACUAUUGGUGCAAAUGCAGCAGCCAGAGAUAGGGCUGCUGAGGAAUGAUCCUUAUCCUAUUCUCAUUUUUACCUAGUUGAUGUGAACCAUAUAUCUAGUGUGAGUCAAUUAUGAAUCAUGUGAACCAUAUAUCCUAUUCAGAGGUUGCUAGUUGUUGUGAACAA
This is a long non-coding RNA of Brachypodium distachyon (stiff brome), 1456 nucleotides long. RefSeq lists it as uncharacterized. The record is from RefSeq and is a predicted model, not a curated record. The transcript is spliced from 2 exons. NCBI's taxonomy places the organism in Eukaryota, Viridiplantae, Streptophyta, Magnoliopsida, Poales, Poaceae.